UCUGUUGGAUAAAGAAAAGUCUUGCGGAGUCCGAAUAUUUUUCAUGAGGGAUUCACAAAUACCUUGUGUCUUCAUCAAAAAUGACAUUUCAGCAUAAUGUAGUACAAACAACUAUCUACCAGCAGGCAGAAGCCAGCCUCCUUCUCUGCUCAGUGCAGCUGCAGAGUCAUCAGAAUACACACGGAAACACAGGCAUUCUUUCAUUCACCGAAACCGCUCAGGGAUCCCGCGGAGGGUUACACCCUCACACACCUUCCAGACUGGAACACAUUUAGGAAGAGUCAUUUAAGACAGGGCUAUUUGGAACAAAAGAACAUUAAUUAAGUUCCUGUGGCUCCUCUGGUGUGUAGCUUUGUCUGGUCCCCCUCUCCUCUCCUCUCUCUCUCUAUUUCAGUUUCUCCUUUUGUAGCCUUCCAACUAGUUGGUGUUCCUCCUGCUACAGUGAACAGUCCCCCGUUCACUGGCGCCUUGGGGAUUAGAAUAGUUCUGAAGACGAGAGAGAGGGUGUUUCAUUCCCAAGGGGAAAUAGAGCUCUCUAUCUCCACAUUCUACACCUCCCCUACAUGCCUUCCUGGGAGAAAGAGAUCAUUGUUCCUCCACCGACUCCAGAAGUAGCAGAAGGUCCUCACCCCCUCACACUCCAGGCCCUCCAAGUCGGGCUGCGUUGAACCCUUUAUGUUGGCCACCGCACCAUGUCUAAUGGCCCCUGCUGAGACGAGCGUCCUGCUCCCUCCUGCUCCCUCCUGCUCCCUCCUGCUCCCUCCUGCUCCCUCCUGCUCCCAGGACCACUUGUCAUCAAGAGGAUUGCGGCUAAAUAAAAACCAUAGAAACUGGGACUUGAAAUAUUGGGGUGCAGCCUCCCCCAAAAGCCCCCAAAACCUUGAACCCGCAUCUGUUGCUUGCUGUUGUCAUGUACAUGAAAGUUGAUCACACAAGGGAUAAGAUGUGUUGCCCUCAGCUCCUCUGUGCUGAUAAAACCUGUGUUUCCAC
Molecule: long non-coding RNA, 990 nt
Organism: Esox lucius (northern pike)
Lineage: Eukaryota; Metazoa; Chordata; Actinopteri; Esociformes; Esocidae
Source: Ensembl